This 1139-nucleotide long non-coding RNA is filed under the name Malus domestica (apple). RNAcentral's name for it is "long non-coding RNA (MDOM_LNC003137)". The record is from RNAcentral. Lineage: Eukaryota; Viridiplantae; Streptophyta; Magnoliopsida; Rosales; Rosaceae.
UUUCUUAAUGAUUCACAUCAAUACAGUCGCUAUUUAUCUUGUGCAAGACUUAGUUACAUUUAUCCUUAUCUUCUAAAUCCAUACAACCUAGACUAACUAACUAACCAAUUCUUGUAAUCUAGCCUUUCACACAUUGACAAAUGUCACAAUCAUAAUGGCUUGAUUAUAUACUCUAACAAUUUAGACAAUCAACAGGUUACUUUGAAAUUUAUAUUAUUGUUCAGUUGUUAGAGCCACUGAAUCUCCCAACCAACAAGGCAUUGUGUUCCUCUCUCAAGCUUUUAUAUAUCUCAAUCAGGCUCUUCAAAGUUUCCAUUCUCUCCUGUACAUUUGUAACCGACUUCUUUUCCUGCAAACGAAGCUUGGUUGAUGCGAUUUGCUUCUUCAGCUCUUGAAUCCGUGUUUCUUUCUCCUCUAGCUCUAUAUGUAGCCUUCGUAAUUUUGUUGGAUCAGUUAUAAAUAACUUCAAAAAUUAAUGAACAAACCCUAACCAAGUGAGACAAACGCUACCCUAUUUUUCGAUAUUUUUCAUAUGCCAUAUGAGAGGACUAAUGUAAAAAACCCCUUUAGGAAAUUGUGAGAGCUACAGGAAAGAAGGUACCAUAGGUGGAAAGGAAGAGAAUAGGGGUGGUGUUUGCUGCUGCUACCCUCCAUUACUUCACAAAAUUUUUAUCACGUCAGAAGAAUAUAAAACAAUAAUAUUAGUUUCCUCCCUUAUCAUUAGAUUUUUUUUUUUUUUUACUUUACAAACCAUGUUUACGCAAAAAGAAAAUUCUUUUUGUUUUUUUUAGUACAUCGAUAUUUUUACCUUGAGGAGAGGGGGAGUUCGGCAAAUCCGCACAAUGGGCAGCCUAAUUUGUUAUCGAAUUCGCCAUCCACAAGAUUCGAACCUAAGACCUUUCACUUUCAAGUGAAGAAAAAUACUACCAGAGUGUAGUAUUGAGUGGCCGCUAAAAGAAAAUCUUAAAACCACUAAUAAAAUAAAGAAUAUUGUUGCAGUCAUAUUUAGAAUAUGAAUGUGAUUGUGUAAAUCCUAGGGAAUUUGGGAAAGUAUCUUAUAUUCUUAUUAGGAUUAGAUUACCUAUUAAAUGUUGUAAUCCUAGAGGGAAAGGUUUUACCAUUCCUACUAAUAUAAAUAA